GUGGCUGUGGGGUAGGUAAAAACGAGUUAUGCAGAGUGUGAAACUCACAGGACAACAAUGAAAUUAUGACGGGUGGGGGAGGGAUGGAGAGAGAGGGCAUGCAAAGGUUUACUUUAAACUAGAGAAAUCAAUAUUCAUACCUCUGGAUUACAAGCUGCCCUAAGUGAAAUUUGAGUGGCACCACCAGCAGCUCCAGCGGGCGCCCGGCCUGCCCAUGGCCGGCAGGAGCCCGUCCGCAGACUUUCUCUCCGACCAGGAUGACUCCAGCAGCAGCAGCUCUAAGUUGCCUGUCUUCAAGCAGGGCCGGCGGCUGCCCAUCUUCAGCAGGAUCUCAGUGUCGGGCUGAAGUACUGACAGGCAGAGUCGAGCUGGAGACAGCGGCUGCAGCGUCGGCUGCGUCCAGGGCCGCCCCGCCAGCCCAGAGCCACCCCGGACACCUCCAGACAGGGACAGGACACUGGGGAGGGGACAGGGAUGGCCCAGCAGCAACUCAACAGCGGCCGCAACGACAGAGUGCCGACCCCGACCCCGACCAUGGAUGAAACCCAAGCCUGCACACAGUGCAUCACCAACCAACGUUGCUGAGACUAUUUAUAGCUAGUGACCUAUGACCUGGGCAUGCGCUGUCAGAAUACCGAACUCGCUUAUUCUUUCAAGCCAAACGUUUCAGUCUAGGCAAUGGCCACAAAAGUCUCUCCUGCACCCUAUCCAGUACAAACAAAUGUUUCCUGUAAUGGGUUAAUCAGAAUUGGUCACCAUACUGGAGGGCAGCACAGUGCCUUAGCGGUUAGCAUGGCUGCUGUGCAGUUCUAGCAAUCUGGGUUUGAUCCUGACCUUGCAUGUUGACUGUGUUGAGUCUGCAUGUAUUUCCUUUGACUACGUGGGUUUCCUCAGGUUGUGCCAGGUCCCUCCCACAUUCCAAAGGUCUUCUGGUGUACUAAUUGUCAUUUGUAAAUUACCACCUGGUGAGGGAUAACAAUAAAAACAAUCAAAGGGAA
Long non-coding RNA from Amblyraja radiata (thorny skate), 998 nucleotides. RefSeq lists it as uncharacterized. The transcript has 2 exons. The record is from RefSeq and is a predicted model, not a curated record. NCBI's taxonomy places the organism in Eukaryota, Metazoa, Chordata, Chondrichthyes, Rajiformes, Rajidae.